GGUAUUUCAUUUAAGAACAAGAUUUACUGAAAAUUAAAAAAAAAUAACUGUCAGUUUUGAUGAAUUGAUUCUGCUUAUUAAUAUUCAGAUCAUAAUUUUUUUCUUUUAACAUUUAUUACUUUGCAUCAAAACAUAAUAUAAAUACAGCUGGAAUAUAACUAUGACAGAAUAAUUUUUUUUAUAGGAUUUUUAUUAUUAAUCUGGAAUCCUGAUAAUUUAGGUCUUGUGUUAAUUUUUUUGGCAUAACUGAAUAAGUAAUUAUUUUCAAUCUUGUUUUGUUUUAUCUCUCUCUCUACGAAAUGAAAUUGAGAGAGAAACUAAAUAAUUUAACUUCCUUCUUCUUUAAAUAAUCAAAAUAUUUAAUUUUUAUUAUCCUCUUUUAAACAAUAAAUCAUACAUUAAUUUUAUAAAUUUAUACAAUUUUAACCUUUUAAACAGACUUCAAAAAUUAUUAC
This 455-nucleotide long non-coding RNA is filed under the name Mytilus galloprovincialis (Mediterranean mussel). The record is from RNAcentral. Lineage: Eukaryota; Metazoa; Mollusca; Bivalvia; Mytilida; Mytilidae.